CCACAGUCACGUUCCUGGUUUCCCACGUUUGUUUGUACCUGAAUGUAUCAUUUCUUAUCAGAAAGUUAAAAGGCAUUCUGAUGGAAACCUGUUUACCCGCCGAGGUUAAGGAUUAAAGUCGAGACUUCCGUGACAACGAUGCUGCUCCUGCCGGAUGUGACGGGUCUGGAGUAAUUGCACCAAGAAUGACAAGAAAUCACUACAGACUUUAUUGAAGACUAGAGCGAAUAACAACUCUAUUAUUAUGUAUUUAUUUAUUUAUCUAUUUAUUACCAGUUAUAACUUUUAGAUCAUUUAAUUCUGUGUUUGUAUGCUUUGUGUAAAUCGUGUAUUUAUUUAAAGUUUCCUCCAGACCACCCAAGAAGGAUGGGCCCUGCUGAGUCUGGUUCCUCUCAAGGUUUCAUCCUGUAAUUUUCAGGGAGUUUUUCCUUGCCACAGUCGCCCUCGGCUUGCUCAACAGGGGUUUUUUGUAUCUGUUGGUCCUGGAUUUUGUAAAGUUGCUUUGAGACAAUGCCUAUUGCAAAUAGCGCUAUAUAAAUAAAGUUGACUUGACAAGGCUGAUGAUUUUACUAUAAUUUAACUCUUAUUACUUUAGUCUGUGUAAUUUACACCUGUCUAUUUGGGCUAGAUAAAACUAGCUAUUUAGGAUCCCCCAAAUACCAGAUGUAUUGCAUUUGUGUUUUUGUAAUCCAAUUAUUUUAUGCUUGGAUUAUUAGAUUAGAUUAAAUUCAACUUCAUUGUCAUUGUGCAGAGUAAGCAAGUACAAAGCCAACGAAAUGCAAUAGCAUCUAACCAGAAGUGCAAGAUAGAGAUUCUAUACAUAUAAUACAGUUAAAGUGCAGAAGUGACCAGAUAAGUGAAAUGAGGAGACUGUCAUGUAAUGGGAUUUACAUAUUGUCUGGCCCUUUAAGAGUGAUAAGUGUACUAUGCUAGGGCAUAGGGAGCGAGUGUGUAGUGAACGUAAGGGAAUUGACCGUCUCCGGCUGUGCUCGUGUUGUCAUGUUUUGCUCUGAGCUUGUGUGCGAUUAAAAAGUAACGUUCGCGUUAAACCCCGA
This is a long non-coding RNA of Trichomycterus rosablanca, 1055 nucleotides long. RefSeq lists it as uncharacterized. The record is from RefSeq and is a predicted model, not a curated record. Lineage: Eukaryota; Metazoa; Chordata; Actinopteri; Siluriformes; Trichomycteridae. The transcript has 2 exons.